Molecule: ribosomal RNA, 195 nt
Filed under: uncultured bacterium
Lineage: Bacteria
Description: partial 16S ribosomal RNA
Rfam family: Bacterial small subunit ribosomal RNA
Source: RNAcentral
CCUACGGGAGGCAGCAGCGAGGAAUUUUGCGCAAUGGGCGAAAGCCUGACGCAGCAACGCCGCGUGGGUGAUGAAGGCCUUCGGGUCGUAAAACCCUGUCAGGUGGGAAGAAACGGUUGGGGGUGAAUACCCCCCAAUCUUGACUGUACCACCAGAGGAAGCCCCGGCUAACUCCGUGCCAGCAGCCGCGGUAAU